GGGAAAUGAAAAUUUUAUUGAAUUGUGACUGAACCUAUAGGGUUGCCUACGUAUCCCUUCUUAAUCGCGAAUAAGGUCAAGCGUAGUUCAAAAUACAUCAUAUAGGGAAUCCAUAAAGAUUACACAUAAUAAUGCUUGAUAUCUGAAUUAAUCAGCUUUGGCUAGACUUCUCCGUUUAUUUCUGCAAGUAUGAGGGCUCCUCCUAUUAAAAUUCCGGUGAACCAUGUAUGGACCCUUCCAAUUGGGAGAGAACUUCCCUUUGGCUUCAUCCUGAUGCAGAAAAUUUUUAUUUAACAUUAGCUGCCUUGGUGUGCAUUGUCUGGGCGUGACACCCUUGUUUAAGGAUCUGGACAUUCUGUUCUUAUAGAGUUGACCAUAGCUAAUCGCAUUCAUUCUCUUUCCAUCUAUAAGAGCUAGCUCUUGUGUUUUUGUCGUGUGUUUGAAAGAAGAGGGAUGCAUGGUAAUUAUAGCUUUUUGAAAAUGAGUGUAGGAAGUUAAUAAAUAAAGUUUUAGUACAAAUAUAGAAACAAUCUCCAGUUAGAAUCAGUUAACCAAGUGACUUCCUUUAAUUAAGGAAUCACUGUUUAACGGGUAGUAACAUAGUCAAAUAAGGAAAGAAAGACGUUUAGAAACAGACUGAUUAUUGCCAUUAAAGAAGUAGUAAAGAUAUUAAAUAAGCAAUCGAGUCUAUGUACAGAAAUAUGCUUAUUUUGAAAAUAGAUUCAACAAUGUAAAUAUUACUAUAAUGGGAAAAAAAUCAAUCAAUUUUGAACGGCUGAGUGAAAUCAAGGCUCAUAAAAAGGGAAACUUUAGAAAUCAGUCACAAGACCAAGAUCAAUCAAAGAAGAGGCUUCAGCAUAUAAAUAAAGUGAACAUGGUCAUCAGACAUGCGAGGCCAACAUAGUGACAAAAGAGAUAAUCGCAAACAUGCAGUAGUGGCAUAAAUAAGCUAGGGUUCACUAGUAAAGCAAACAUUUGAAGCACAUUAAUCAAGUAGGUCGAUUUACAUUGAAUCAAUAGGGAAGAAAACAGAGCAUCAUAAACAUGCAAAGGUUUCAUAGUAGCAGGUGAGGAAAUCCUUUCUUAAAAAUGGUUAGGGUUUCAAUCAUAGUCGAGUUGACAGAUAGUAAAAUAAGAUAAGUCACGUAAAGAAAGAAAGUCUAUAACAAAAGCUUUCAGUCGAGUCAAGUACUCAAACAAAAAAUUUUAGACCAAGAAGACAUAGGGUUUUCAACGAUAAUCAAUUCUAAAAGAUGAUAAACAAAUGAAUCAAACAAGUACUAGCAAACCGUUUCAGAACUCGAAUAAGACCACAAAAAAUCUGGGGUUUUAGUAUGCUGAAACAAAUAAAAGAACAACAUGAUCAAAACUUAGCAAAAUCAUAAACAAGUUAAAAUCAGAGAUCUUUGAAAACAAAACUUAAAGGAAGAUCCUAAUCGGAGAAGAUGAAGGGUUAUUUUGAAAGAAAGUCGAGAAACUUUCGACAAAACACUUAAAAGUUUAGUAGCAAGUACAGAUCUAAAGUAGAUCUAGAAGAAAAAUCAAAAUAUCUUAAAGGUUAGGGUUUCGAAAGACCCAGAAAGGUGAGAAAUGCCUUGAAAGGUUAUCGAUCUAGCCGGAAAAGUCACAGAUCUUACUCGAAUAACCGUGGAUGGCUGGAAAUGGCAUAGGAGGAAAUGAGAGGCGAGUGAACCACCUCUGGUUCACUUGAGGGCCUCAAAAUGAUGACACAUGACGAAGAUAGAACCAUAAGACUGGUAGGUGGCGAAAACACCAUGGAUUCAAGCUGGAGAAAGUGGGUGAAGUCAUCUGAGAGGAGCGGAAGUGGAAAGGUUCUAGAGAGAAACAGUGAGAGAGAGGGGGGUGGUAGAGAGACGAGAG
RNAcentral lists this long non-coding RNA (1881 nucleotides) under Nicotiana benthamiana. Its description in RNAcentral is "long non-coding RNA (NBEN_LNC013691)". The record is from RNAcentral. Lineage: Eukaryota; Viridiplantae; Streptophyta; Magnoliopsida; Solanales; Solanaceae.